GCGGCGCAGUGUAGGUCUAACCGAAGCUCGCCGCUGUGCGCCCAGUCGCCGAUUCAAUCCUGCCGCGGUGCUCUUCACUGAGUGUCGAGGUAGGCCGACACGUUUACUUUGAACAAAUUAGAGUGCUCAAAGCAGGCUGAA
This 141-nucleotide ribosomal RNA is filed under the name Corixidae environmental sample. RNAcentral's name for it is "partial 18S ribosomal RNA". The record is from RNAcentral. Lineage: Eukaryota; Metazoa; Arthropoda; Insecta; Hemiptera; Corixidae.